AACGAACGCUGGCGGCAUGCCUAACACAUGCAAGUCGAACGAGACCUUCGGGUCUAGUGGCGCACGGGUGCGUAACGCGUGGGAACCUGCCCUUAGGUUCGGAAUAACUCCCCGAAAGGGGUGCUAAUACCGGAUAAUGUCUUCGGACCAAAGAUUUAUCGCCUUUGGAUGGGCCCGCGUUGGAUUAGCUAGUUGGUAGGGUAAAAGCCUACCAAGGCGACGAUCCAUAGCUGGUCUGAGAGGAUGAUCAACCACACUGGGACGGAGACACGGCCCAGACUCCUACGGGAGGCAGCAGUGGGGAAUAUUGGACAAUGGGCGAAAGCCUGAUCCAGCAAUGCCGCGUGAGUGAUGAAGGCCUUAGGGUUGUAAAGCUCUUUUACCCGGGAUGAUAAUGACAGUACCGGGAGAAUAAGCUCCGGCUAACUCCGUG
RNAcentral lists this ribosomal RNA (433 nucleotides) under uncultured bacterium. RNAcentral describes it as "partial 16S ribosomal RNA". It matches the Rfam family "Bacterial small subunit ribosomal RNA", at positions 29 to 507 of the family's 1533-position model. The record is from RNAcentral.